Molecule: ribosomal RNA, 497 nt
Filed under: uncultured bacterium
Lineage: Bacteria
Description: partial 16S ribosomal RNA
Rfam family: Bacterial small subunit ribosomal RNA
Source: RNAcentral
GAUGAACGCUGGCGGCGUGCCUAAUACAUGCAAGUCGAGCGAACAGACGAGGAGCUUGCUCCUCUGACGUUAGCGGCGGACGGGUGAGUAACACGUGGAUAACCUACCUAUAAGACUGGGAUAACUUCGGGAAACCGGAGCUAAUACCGGAUAAUAUAUUGAACCGCAUGGUUCAAUAGUUAAAGACGGUUUUGCUGUCACUUAUAGAUGGAUCCGCGCCGCAUUAGCUAGUUGGUAAGGUAACGGCUUACCAAGGCAACGAUGCGUAGCCGACCUGAGAGGGUGAUCGGCCACACUGGAACUGAGACACGGUCCAGACUCCUACGGGAGGAAGCAGUAGGGAAUCUUCCGCAAUGGGCGAAAGCCUGACGGAGCAACGCCGCGUGAGUGAUGAAGGUCUUCGGAUCGUAAAACUCUGUUAUUAGGGAAGAACAAAUGUGUAAGUAACUAUGCACGUCUUGACGGUACCUAAUCAGAAAGCCACGGCUAACUACGUG